UACGUAGGGAGCGAGCGUUGUCCGGAAUUACUGGGUGUAAAGGGUGCGUAGGCGGGACAGUAAGUCAGACGUGAAAUCUUGAGGCUCAACCUCAAGCGUGCGUUUGAAACUAUUGUUCUUGAGUGAAGUAGAGGUAGGCGGAAUUCCUAGUGUAGCGGUGGAAUGCGUAGAUAUUAGGAGGAACACCAGUGGCGAAGGCGGCCUACUGGGCUUUUACUGACGCUGAGGCACGAAAGCGUGGGGAGCAAACAGG
RNAcentral lists this ribosomal RNA (253 nucleotides) under uncultured bacterium. RNAcentral's name for it is "partial 16S ribosomal RNA". It matches the Rfam family "Bacterial small subunit ribosomal RNA", at positions 524 to 776 of the family's 1533-position model. The record is from RNAcentral.